CUGUGCAGUUUUUGCCAUUGAAAAGUGUGUCUAGUCUUUGCUGAAGUAUUCCGAGAGGUUAAAACGAAGAAUUCAAGAUGAAAAGUGCUGUUUUCCUGAUGGUUUUUGCUGUCCUUUUGGCGACGAGCCUCAUCCACGAAAGUGAAGCGUUUGCUGCUGGCGGUGGAGCAUUUGGGAAAAAGCGAAAUUUGAUUGAGAGGUCCGGCGCAGAUGACGGCCUUCGCGAGUUGUGUGAAAUGGCAAGUGGGGUAUGCCGAAAAUACUUGUUGAAGAAAAAGAGAAACGAAUAGAGAAGACGACAAGUUUGCCUGAACUAGUUUAAAAUAUUCUAUAAUUUAAAAAAGCUCGAUUGUUGGAAAGCGAAUGUGGAGCGAAAUGAAAUAUUGUAAAUUAUAAAAUAAUUUAUUGUGUAAUGAAAAUAAAAAUGUAUGCCUUAAAAAUG
Molecule: long non-coding RNA, 442 nt
Organism: Dendronephthya gigantea
Lineage: Eukaryota; Metazoa; Cnidaria; Anthozoa; Malacalcyonacea; Nephtheidae
Exons: 2
Source: RefSeq, a predicted model, not a curated record